This 774-nucleotide ribosomal RNA is filed under the name uncultured Neocallimastigales. Its description in RNAcentral is "partial large subunit ribosomal RNA". It matches the Rfam family "Eukaryotic large subunit ribosomal RNA", at positions 19 to 621 of the family's 3401-position model. Lineage: Eukaryota; Fungi; Neocallimastigomycota; Neocallimastigomycetes; Neocallimastigales. The record is from RNAcentral.
CGAGCACGCGCGUGUGGCAUAUCAAUAAGCGGAGGAAAAGAAACUAACAAGGAUUCCCUUAGUAACGGCGAGUGAAGCGGGAAGAGCUCAAAUUUGAAAUCUUCAAGGUUCUACCUUGACGAAUUGUAGUUUAUAGAAGUGUUUUCUGUUAGUAGAGUGGCAAAAGUUCUUUGGAAUAGGACAUCAUAGAGGGUGAGAAUCCCGUAUUUGGUCAUUCUUUCUAGCUUUGUGAUACACUUUCAACGAGUCGGAUUGUUUGGGAAUGCAGUCCAAAAUGGGUGGUAAAUUUCAUCUAAAGCUAAAUAUUGGCGAGAGACCGAUAGCGAACAAGUACCGUGAGGGAAAGAUGAAAAGAACUUUGAAAAGAGAGUUAAACAGUACGUGAAAUUGUCAAAAGGGAAGCGUUUGACACCAGUGUUGUUUUUCCGAAAAUCAAUUACGAAUGUUUUGUUUUUGAGAAGUUAUGACUUCAUCGGCUUGCUUCUUUCUUUACGAAACUUUCUUAAUGCACUUUUCGGUUAACAAGUCAACAUCAAUUUCUUUUGUUGUAAAAGGGUAUGAGGAAGGUGGCUUUCUUUUCGGAGAAAGUGUUUAUAGCCUUGUACCUCUGCAAUCGGAGAGAUUGAGGUCUGCAGCGUAGAUCCUUCGGGGUUAGAUACAUUUGUGCUAAGUUAUAGCUUUUCAUAGACAACUUGUUGACUAUGUUAAGUCUUGUAGCUUACUCGCUUAUGCUAUUUUACCUACGCUUAGGAUGUUGAACUCUAUCACACACAG